GCGGUGGAUGAUGUGGAUUAAUUCGAUGCAACGCGAAAACCUUACCUACCCUUGACAUGUCCGGAAUCCCGAAGAGAUUUGGGAGUGCUCGCAAGAGAACCGGAACACAGGUGCUGCAUGGCUGUCGUCAGCUCGUGUCGUGAGAUGUUGGGUUAAGUCCCGCAACGAGCGCAACCCUUGUCAUUAGUUGCCAUCAUUUGGUUGGGCACUCUAAUGAGACUGCCGGUGACAAACCGGAGGAAGGUGGGGAUGACGUCAAGUCCUCAUGGCCCUUAUGGGUAGGGCUUCACACGUCAUACAAUGGCUGGUACAAAGGGUUGCCAACCCGCGAGGGGGAGCCAAUCCCAUAAAGCCAGUCGUAGUCCGGAUCGUAGUCUGCAACUCGACUACGUGAAGUCGGAAUCGCUAGUAAUCGUGGAUCAGAAUGUCACGGUGAAUACGUUCCCGGGUCUU
RNAcentral lists this ribosomal RNA (453 nucleotides) under uncultured Rhodocyclaceae bacterium. RNAcentral's name for it is "bacterial SSU rRNA". It matches the Rfam family "Bacterial small subunit ribosomal RNA", at positions 929 to 1382 of the family's 1533-position model. Lineage: Bacteria; Pseudomonadati; Pseudomonadota; Betaproteobacteria; Rhodocyclales; Rhodocyclaceae. The record is from RNAcentral.